RNAcentral lists this ribosomal RNA (483 nucleotides) under Fusarium oxysporum f. sp. ciceris. RNAcentral's name for it is "eukaryotic LSU rRNA". The stretch from base 131 to 284 matches the Rfam family "5.8S ribosomal RNA". The record is from RNAcentral. Lineage: Eukaryota; Fungi; Ascomycota; Sordariomycetes; Hypocreales; Nectriaceae.
AACCCCUGUGAACAUACCAAUUGUUGCCUCGGCGGAUCAGCCCGCUCCCGGUAAAACGGGACGGCCCGCCAGAGGACCCCUAAACUCUGUUUCUAUAUGUAACUUCUGAGUAAAACCAUAAAUAAAUCAAAACUUUCAACAACGGAUCUCUUGGUUCUGGCAUCGAUGAAGAACGCAGCAAAAUGCGAUAAGUAAUGUGAAUUGCAGAAUUCAGUGAAUCAUCGAAUCUUUGAACGCACAUUGCGCCCGCCAGUAUUCUGGCGGGCAUGCCUGUUCGAGCGUCAUUUCAACCCUCAAGCCCCCGGGUUUGGUGUUGGGGAUCGGCGAGCCUCACGGCAAGCCGGCCCCGAAAUACAGUGGCGGUCUCGCUGCAGCUUCCAUUGCGUAGUAGUAAAACCCUCGCAACUGGUACGCGGCGCGGCCAAGCCGUUAAACCCCCAACUUCUGAAUGUUGACCUCGGAUCAGGUAGGAAUACCCGCUGA